CUGGAAAACCUAUCUUUCUCUCAUCUUCUCUCUCCUACCCGCUUUCUCUCUCUUCUUCGUCUGCUAUUUCUCUCUCCUUUCUCCCCAGAAAUCCGGUGAUCAGCCAAGCACGUAUGUACUAUGGUUUGUAAAAACAAAUUAGAUAAAUCUGCGAAAACAUUUGUUUUCCAAACUUUGCUGCUAAACAAGCACAGCCAUUGUUUAAUUAUUAUUUUCGCAUUCCGUUGUCUAUAAAUUGAAUCCCCAUUGUACUGAGAUUUCAGCCUAAAUCGAGACAGAGAUAUGGCGAUGAGGAGUAACAUAAUGCCGUCACAAGUCCAACACCAUUCCCACCAUCACAGGCUCACUUUAUUUUCCACAUCUAUUUCUUCCACAACUAUUUGCCGUUGUGAUAUCUGUCAUGCCAUAAUCCCAAAUAAUGAACGCCGUUACCGGUGUGAUCCAUGUGACUUUGAUGCUCAUUGCAACUGUGGUAGGUGCUAUUUAGAGUGUUGCAACCCUCGCCAACGCUCCCACUAUCAGAUUCAGUACAGUUUAGCAAACACUGAGACAGGGAUAAAACCACCUCCACCUUCACCUCCACCUCCGCCUCCACCACCUCCACCUCCACCACCACCUCCACCUCCACCUCCACCUCCACCUCCACCUCCACCUCCGCCUCCGCCUCCACCACCUCCACCUCCACCUCCACCUCCACCUCCGCCUCCACCACCACCACCACCUCCUCCGCCACCUCCUCCACCUCAAACCAGUAUCAGCUGGGUUGAUUAUUGGCGGGCCAACAGGGGCUACCAGGUUGCUGCAUAUUGCUGCCGGCCUGUUGUCAACUACUGUUACUGGCCAGCUGUGAAUUAUUGUUACAAUUACUGUUAUCGUCCGGUUAUCAAUUAUUGUUACCGGCCUGCUGUGAAUUAUUGUUACAAUUACUGUUAUCGUCCGGUUAUCAAUUAUUGUUACCGGCCUGCUGUGAAUUAUUGUUACAGGCCAGUUUACAAUUACUGUCAGCGGCGAUGGUGGUGAUAUGUUUGUGGAUGUUUGUAGCUUUGAUCAUGAUGUCCAUCUGAAUAAAGUGUUACGUUUUGUGUCUUUAUUCCUUCACUACAGUUUUGUUGUAUUUUUUAACUCAUGACUAAAUAAUGUUAAGCAAAGUUUGCAAUCCUUAUACUCUCUAUGUCUAUGAAUUAAG
This 1186-nucleotide long non-coding RNA is filed under the name Aquilegia coerulea. RNAcentral's name for it is "long non-coding RNA (ACOE_LNC001855)". Lineage: Eukaryota; Viridiplantae; Streptophyta; Magnoliopsida; Ranunculales; Ranunculaceae. The record is from RNAcentral.